AGAGAAAGAGAGAGAGAUGGAGAAAGAGAGUGAGAGGAUGAGCUAACCAUCUGUAGUUACAUGCUGCUGCUAUGCUGUUUUCUGACUGUUGGCUGUGUGAUUGGAAAAGGUUUGGUCUCUGCUGGAGAGUCAGGAAAUGAUACCACUAAGGUACUCUGUCAGGUUUGGUCUCUGCUGGAGAGUCAGGAAAUGAUCCCACUAAGGUACUCUGUCAGGUUUGGUCUCUGCUGGAGCGUCAGGAAAUGAUCCCACUAAGGUACUCUGUCAGGUUUGGUCUCUGCUGGAGCGUCAGGAAAUGAUCCCACUAAGGUACUCUGUCAGGUUUGGUCUCUGCUGGAGCGUCAGGAAAUGAUCCCACUAAGGUACUCUGUCAGGUUUGGUCUCUGCUGGAGCGUCAGGAAAUGAUCCCACUAAGGUACUCUGUCAGGUUUGGUCUCUGCUGGAGCGUCAGGAAAUGAUCCCACUAAGGUACUCUGUCAGGUUUGGUCUCUGCUGGAGCGUCAGGAAAUGAUCCCACUAAGGUACUCUGUCAGGUUUGGUCUCUGCUGGAGCGUCAGGAAAUGAUCCCACUAAGGUACUCUGUCAGGUUUGGUCUCUGCUGGAGCGUCAGGAAAUGAUCCCACUAAGGUACUCUGUCAGGUUUGGUCUCUGCUGGAGCGUCAGGAAAUGAUCCCACUAAGGUACUCUGUCAGGUUUGGUCUCUGCUGGAGCGUCAGGAAAUGAUCCCACUAAGGUACUCUGUCAGGUUUGGUCUCUGCUGGAGCGUCAGGAAAUGAUCCCACUAAGGUACUCUGUCACUAGGUCUGAGGGUUGAAAGUGGAUGGCGAUCAAAACAAGGGUGAAUCAAAAACACA
Long non-coding RNA from Oncorhynchus keta (chum salmon), 854 nucleotides. RefSeq lists it as uncharacterized. The record is from RefSeq and is a predicted model, not a curated record. The transcript has 3 exons. NCBI's taxonomy places the organism in Eukaryota, Metazoa, Chordata, Actinopteri, Salmoniformes, Salmonidae.